This 1349-nucleotide long non-coding RNA is filed under the name Anas platyrhynchos platyrhynchos (common mallard). RNAcentral describes it as "lncRNA (ENSAPLG00000026028.1)". Lineage: Eukaryota; Metazoa; Chordata; Aves; Anseriformes; Anatidae. The record is from RNAcentral.
CCGCCCCGGCCUCACCAUGGUCUCGAGCCUGGCGAGCGCCGUCUCCAUGUUGAAUAGUUGACAUUCCUCAGGCGGCGGCGGAGGAGAUGCCCGCCCCCCGCGCCGCGGGCCGCGGAGAGACGGGGGUUGCCAUUGGGCAGCUGUCAGUCGGAGCUGGCCUCCCAUUGGUUGGGCGCUGAGGGAGGGUUGUCGCUAUUGGGCGGGAGGGGAUGUAAACCCUGGCGGAGGUACGGGGGUGCUGAUUGGGCGCCGCGGGGAGCGGCGGGCGGGGAUUGGUUCGCGGAGGGAGCGCCGCGAGAAGGAGGGGGGGUGGAGUGGGGGCGGGCGGGGAUUGGCUGGCGUAGGGAGCGCUGAGCUGCUAUUGGCGGGGGGCUGUGCUCCUGCCCGCCUCCUUUCAACCCCAUUGGCCCGUCUCACCUCCGUCCUUCCUCUGAUUGGUCAGUCUCAAACCCUUCCACCCAAUGACGGGAGCGGAGCAGCGCCAGGCCCGCGAUUCCCCCCCCCCAGCCCCAUCUCCCUUCACCUCACCCGUCGAGCUGAGGGGAGGGAGCCCGCGUCCUCCUAGCGACCAAUCAGCGCGCGGCUUACGUGGGGGGGGAAAGGGAGGGGACGGCUGAGAGCGGCGCUCCCAUUGGCUGCGCGCCGCGCGGGGCCCGGUUUGAAUCGGUGGCGCCGGCCGUGAGGUGAGCGGCGGCCGGGGGGGGCCGGGGGGGACCGGGACUGGAGGGGGAGGGUCCCCAUGACCCCCGUCGUGUUGUGCCCUUCGCUCCUUAUAUGGCGAAUUUACCGUCCCCACGUCAAAUUUCAUGUUUUUUUUUCCACGUUUUGCCCAUAAUCUCUCCGUUUCUGACAGGAAUGGCCAAGUGCAGGCGUCGGCGGAAAGCCAGAGCCAGAGCGAAGCGGCGCCUGACAGGGAAAGGAGCUGCCGCCGGGCCCCGCGGCUCGGGCUGUGCUGCGCCGCUGUCAGCAGGUGACCUUCCGCCGGACCCACCCUCUGUCCCAAGCCACCCAUCCUCACGCUGGUCAUUAGCCUUGCCCAGUGUAAGAAGCGUGGUAAAGCCUCUCACAACAACGGUGUCGUUCUGGUAUUGCUGGUGCCAGAACACUGUUGCGCAGGUAAGUUUUCUGCUUUUCUGGGUUUUGACAAUGCGUGAGGUCAGCCUUAGAACUCAAAUGCAAGAUAUGUCAAAUAUGAAAAGUAAGCUGUAAACUUAAUUAUGUCUAUUGAAACAUCUAAAUAUAUAUUGUGUUUAUUGUUGAAGGAGCAACUAUGAGAAAAUGUCCAAGGUUCUAUAAACAUUAAAAAUGUAUGUGAAAUUGGAGUUUGUAUAUGGCAGCAUCAGCAGGAU